AUUGAACGCUGGCGGCAGGCCUAACACAUGCAAGUCGAGCGGAUGAAGGGAGCUUGCUCCUGGAUUCAGCGGCGGACGGGUGAGUAAUGCCUAGGAAUCUGCCUGGUAGUGGGGGAUAACGUCCGGAAACGGGCGCUAAUACCGCAUACGUCCUGAGGGAGAAAGUGGGGGAUCUUCGGACCUCCCGCUAUCAGAUGAGCCUAGGUCGGAUUAGCUAGUUGGUGGGGUAAAGGCCUACCAAGGCGACGAUCCGUAACUGGUCUGAGAGGGUGAUCAGUCACACUGGAACUGAGACACGGUCCAGACUCCUACGGGAGGCAGCAGUGGGGAAUAUUGGACAAUGGGCGAAAGCCUGAUCCAGCCAUGCCGCGUGUGUGAAGAAGGUCUUCGGAUUGUAAAGCACUUUAAGUUGGGAGGAAGGGCAGUAAGUUAAUACCUUGCUGUUUUGACGUUACCAACAGAAUAAGCACCGGCUAACUUCGUG
This 484-nucleotide ribosomal RNA is filed under the name uncultured bacterium. Its description in RNAcentral is "partial 16S ribosomal RNA". It matches the Rfam family "Bacterial small subunit ribosomal RNA", at positions 30 to 507 of the family's 1533-position model. The record is from RNAcentral.